AUGGGGUCUGGCUGUAUUUUUCUCCCAGAAAACUAUAUCGGCUUGAGUCUGGGACAUCUGGUCAUCAACCCUUCCAGCCCUGGGCCGCCCGCGUCGGACCCUGCUUGCGGCGCCGUGGUGGAGGCCACAGCUGAUGCCCUCUGCGGCCGAGGCGCCCCAACCGCCACCGGGGCGCAGUCCGGGCUGGACGCUGACCGCUGGGCCCACCCAGGCGGCGCUCUCCAAAUGCGCCCGCGUAGGCACAGGUCGAGUCUGGAAACCCCUCGCUAUCAAGGCAGGACACACCCAGUGUCCUGGGCGCCCUUUCCCCCCCGGGAGCGGCGGGGGCGAGGGGAAGGCAGAUACACUCUUGGAAGAAGGCAUGAGCUCCACCGGGCGGAGGCGCCCAGGCCAAGCCUCCGGCACAGAAAGAGUGUGUCCCCCUGGGGUACGCGCCAGCCUCCGCGCUCCCCGGGUAUCCGGGCGGCUCCCCCUCGCGAUCGCCUGGGUGCUGGGGAGCCUACUCUCGGGCCGCUUAGAGACCUUAGACAAUGGAGCCGGAGCAAGGCGGCUGGCCUAGGGCCGAGCGCCGAGCGCGGGGGUGGCUUCUCCCGCCGCCGGCCCCCGCGGUGCCCCGCCUGGAGCCGGCCCGCCAGCCAGCACGCGGGGCCGAGCCGAGCUCCGGCGCUGCGCUCCUCCUCCUGGUUCCCGCGAGGCUCGGCCGUCCCGGGAAAGCCACAGGAGGGCGGGCUGGCGGGUGCCCGCCACGCGAAGCAGCUUUGGGCGGUGAACCCUCUGCUGCUCUUGGCUCUCUGGUUCGGGCGGAGACUGAGUUGCUCCAUGGAACCAGUACCAGGAGAUCUCUUCUUACACCUCGGGGUUGCUUUGGGCUUCGUGCUAUCUAUUUGUGCCAACAUCCUUUUAAACUGGUUCUUUUCUCUAUCCCUCUUUAAAUUCUUUCUCAUUUUAAAAUUAUUGGCAUGGAUUCUUUUUCUCUCCUCCAGAUUAUAUAAACAUUACACACACACACACACACACACACACACACACACACACACACACACGAGUCUUCCAUAA
This 1056-nucleotide long non-coding RNA is filed under the name Bos grunniens (domestic yak). Its description in RNAcentral is "lncRNA (ENSBGRG00000015773.1)". The record is from RNAcentral. Lineage: Eukaryota; Metazoa; Chordata; Mammalia; Artiodactyla; Bovidae.